Molecule: ribosomal RNA, 253 nt
Filed under: uncultured bacterium
Lineage: Bacteria
Description: partial 16S ribosomal RNA
Rfam family: Bacterial small subunit ribosomal RNA
Source: RNAcentral
UACGAGGGGGGCAAGCGUUGUUCGGAAUUAUUGGGCGUAAAGGGCGCGUAGGCGGUGCGGUAAGUCACCUGUGAAACCUCUAGGCUCAACCUAGAGCCUGCAGGCGAAACUGCCGUGCUUGAGGGUGGGAGAGGUGCGUGGAAUUCCCGGUGUAGCGGUGAAAUGCUUAGAUAUGACAUAGAACACCAAUUGCGAAGGCAGCUCGCUACACGAAUAUUGACUCUGAGGCACGAAAGCGUGGGGAUCAAACAGG